AUUGAACGCUGGUGGCAUGCUUUACACAUGCAAGUCGAACGGCAGCGCGGGCUUCGGCCUGGCGGCGAGUGGCGAACGGGUGAGUAAUGCAUCGGAACGUGCCCAGUAGUGGGGGAUAGCCCGGCGAAAGCCGGAUUAAUACCGCAUACGACCUGAGGGUGAAAGCGGGGGACCGAAAGGCCUCGCGCUAUUGGAGCGGCCGAUGUCGGAUUAGCUAGUUGGUGGGGUAAAGGCUUACCAAGGUGACGAUCCGUAGCUGGUCUGAGAGGACGACCAGCCACACUGGGACUGAGACACGGCCCAGACUCCUACGGGAGGCAGCAGUGGGGAAUUUUGGACAAUGGGGGCAACCCUGAUCCAGCCAUGCCGCGUGCGGGAAGAAGGCCUUCGGGUUGUAAACCGCUUUUGUUCGGGAAGAAAUCCUCUGGGCUAAUACCCCGGGGGGAUGACGGUACCGGAAGAAUAAGCACCGGCUAACUACGUG
RNAcentral lists this ribosomal RNA (484 nucleotides) under uncultured bacterium. Its description in RNAcentral is "partial 16S ribosomal RNA". It matches the Rfam family "Bacterial small subunit ribosomal RNA", at positions 28 to 507 of the family's 1533-position model. The record is from RNAcentral.